RNAcentral lists this ribosomal RNA (429 nucleotides) under uncultured bacterium. RNAcentral's name for it is "bacterial SSU rRNA". It matches the Rfam family "Bacterial small subunit ribosomal RNA", at positions 355 to 776 of the family's 1533-position model. The record is from RNAcentral.
UGGGGAAUAUUGGACAAUGGGGGCAACCCUGAUCCAGCGAUGCCGCGUGAGUGAAGAAGGCCUUCGGGUCGUAAAGCUCUUUAGGUUGGGAAGAAGUGCGCCGAGUGAAUAGCUUGGUGUGUUGACGGUACCGACAGAAUAAGCACCGGCAAACUCUGUGCCAGCAGCCGCGGUAAUACAAAGGGUGCGAGCGUUAAUCGGAAUUACUGGGCGUAAAGGGCGCGUAGGCGGUUAUGUAUGUGUGAUGUGAAAGCCCCGGGCUUAACCUGGGAAGUGCAUCGCAAACUGUAUAACUAGAGUAUAUGAGAGGGUGGCGGAAUUUCCGGUGUAGCGGUGAAAUGCGUAGAGAUCGGAAGGAACGUCAAUGGCGAAGGCAGCCACCUGGCAUAAUACUGACGCUGAGGCGCGAAAGCGUGGGGAGCGAACAGG